Molecule: unclassified non-coding RNA, 240 nt
Filed under: Xenopolyscytalum sp.
Lineage: Eukaryota; Fungi; Ascomycota; Leotiomycetes; Helotiales; Hamatocanthoscyphaceae
Also listed under: 2 other names
Description: partial contains 5.8S ribosomal RNA, internal transcribed spacer 2, and large subunit ribosomal RNA
Rfam family: 5.8S ribosomal RNA (bases 1-52)
Source: RNAcentral
AACGCACAUUGCGCCCUGUGGUAUUCCGCAGGGCAUGCCUGUUCGAGCGUCAGUACAACACUCAAGCUCUGCUUGGUAUUGGGCCCUGCUGGUAACGGCGGGCCUUAAAAUCAGUGGCGGUGCCAUCUGGCUCUAAGCGUAGUAAUACUCCUCGCUAUAGAGUCCCGGUGGAUACUUGCCAGCAACCCCCAACUUUCUAAGUUUGACCUCGGAUCAGGUAGGGAUACCCGCUGAACUUAA